RNAcentral lists this ribosomal RNA (213 nucleotides) under Staphylococcus sp. RNAcentral describes it as "partial 16S ribosomal RNA". It matches the Rfam family "Bacterial small subunit ribosomal RNA", at positions 115 to 322 of the family's 1533-position model. The record is from RNAcentral. Lineage: Bacteria; Bacillati; Bacillota; Bacilli; Caryophanales; Staphylococcaceae.
ACGUGGGUAACCUACCUANAAGACUGGGAUAACUCCGGCAAACCGGGGCUACUACCGGAUAAUAUUUUGAACCGCAUGGUUCAAUANUGAAAGACGGUUUCNGCUGUCACUUAUAGAUGGACCCCCGCCCUAUUAGCUAUUGGUAAGGUAAUGGCUUACCAANGCGACGAUNCNUACCCGACCUGAGAGGGUGAUCGGCCACNCUGNAACCGA